This 453-nucleotide ribosomal RNA is filed under the name Pantoea sp. SAN4. Its description in RNAcentral is "bacterial SSU rRNA". It matches the Rfam family "Bacterial small subunit ribosomal RNA", at positions 368 to 838 of the family's 1533-position model. The record is from RNAcentral. Lineage: Bacteria; Pseudomonadati; Pseudomonadota; Gammaproteobacteria; Enterobacterales; Erwiniaceae.
CAAAAGGGCGCAAGCUGAGCAGCCUGUCGCUGUAUAAAAAAGCCUUUGGGUUUUAAAGUAUUUUUGCGGGGAGGAAGGCGGUGCGGUAAAACCGCGCCGAUAGACGUUAUCCGCAAAAAAGCACCGGCUAUCUCUGUGCGAGCAGCCGCGGUAAUACGGAGGGUGCAAGCGUUAAUCGGAAUUACUGGGCGUAAAGCGCACGCAGGCGGUCUGUUAAUCAGAUGUGAAAUCCCCGGGCUCAACCUGGGAACUGCGUUUGAAACUGGCAGCUUGAGUCUCGUAGAGGGGGGUAGAAUUCCACGUGUAGCGUGAAAUGCGUAUAGAUCUGAGGAGUACCGUGGCGAAGCGCUCCUGUACAAGACUGACGCUCAGUGCGAAGCGUGUGGAGCAAACAGGAUAAAUACCUGGAGUCUACCCGUAAACAUGUCGACUGAAGUGUUUCCUUGAAGAGUG